GCGGAGGGAUCAUUACAGAGUUUUCUAAACUCCCAAACCCAUGUGAAUCUUACCUUCUGUUGCCUCGGCGUAUGAGCUACCUGGCACUGCCUACCCGGCAGUCUAGGGCGCCCCCAGCGCCGGUGGCCUACUAAACUCUGUUUAUUUUGUAAUUCUGAAUUAUAAACUUAAUAAGUUAAAACUUUCAACAACGGAUCUCUUGGUUCUGGCAUCGAUGAAGAACGCAGCGAAAUGCGAUAAGUAAUGUGAAUUGCAGAAUUCAGUGAAUCAUCGAAUCUUUGAACGCACAUUGCGCCCAUUAGUAUUCUAGUGGGCAUGCCUGUUCGAGCGUCAUUUCAACCCUUAAGCCCUGUUGCUUAGCGUUGGGAGCCUACGGCCCAGCCUGUAGCUCCUCAAAGUUAGUGGCGGAGUUCGUACCAACUCUAGGCGUAGUAAUUCUAUCUCGCCUCUGCAGUGGUUCGGCCCCCUGCCGUAAAACACCCAACUUUAUACUGGU
RNAcentral lists this ribosomal RNA (496 nucleotides) under fungal endophyte. RNAcentral's name for it is "eukaryotic LSU rRNA". The stretch from base 180 to 333 matches the Rfam family "5.8S ribosomal RNA". Lineage: Eukaryota; Fungi. The record is from RNAcentral.